This 520-nucleotide ribosomal RNA is filed under the name uncultured bacterium. RNAcentral's name for it is "bacterial SSU rRNA". It matches the Rfam family "Archaeal small subunit ribosomal RNA", at positions 345 to 866 of the family's 1478-position model. The record is from RNAcentral.
AACCUCCGCAAUGUGAGAAAUCGCGACGGGGGGAUCCCAAGUGCCAUUCUUAACGGGAUGGCUCUUCAUUAGUGUAAAGAGCUUUUGGAAUAAGAGCUGGGCAAGACCGGUGCCAGCCGCCGCGGUAACACCGGCAGCUCUAGUGGUAACAAUUUUUAUUGGGCCUAAAGCGUCCGUAGCCGGUUUAAUAAGUCUCUGGUGAAAUCCUGUAGCUUAACUGUGGGAAUUGCUGGAGAUACUAUUAGACUUGAGACCGGGAGAGGUUAGAGGUACUCCCAGGGUAGAGGUGAAAUUCUGUAAUCCUGGGAGGACCGCCUGUUGCGAAGGCGUCUAACUGGAACGGUUCUGACGGUGAGGGACGAAAGUUAGGGGCGCGAACCGGAUUAGAUACCCGGGUAGUCCUAACUGUAAACGAUGCGGACUUGGUGUUGGGUGGCUUUGAGCUGCUCCAGUGCCGAAGGGAAGCUGUUAAGUCCGCCGCCUGGGAAGUACGGUCGCAAGACUGAAACUUAAAGGAAUU